AUUCUGUGGUGAGGGCAUUUUCGUAAUGGUUCUUUGUAUCAUUCUCAUGCCUCAUACAAGGACUUAUCAUUCAUUUGUUGGAAGGCAGUGAUCUCCUUCCUCAACUU
Non-coding RNA from Gossypium hirsutum (cotton), 107 nucleotides. The record is from Rfam. NCBI's taxonomy places the organism in Eukaryota, Viridiplantae, Streptophyta, Magnoliopsida, Malvales, Malvaceae.